RNAcentral lists this long non-coding RNA (680 nucleotides) under Equus caballus (horse). RNAcentral's name for it is "lncRNA (ENSECAG00000041346.2)". Lineage: Eukaryota; Metazoa; Chordata; Mammalia; Perissodactyla; Equidae. The record is from RNAcentral.
CAUCACCAAGCCCAAUCUUUUCACCCUACCCCUCGCCAUCAGCACCACCUCCUCACUGGGAAACCUUUGAUCAAUGGGGAAACCAAGUCCUGAGGGAAGCUGACAAAGCAGUGGAAACCUCUACUUCAAUCCCCACAAGAAUCAACGAGGAUCCUGACCAAUACCUUCCGUUAGACCCUGACUCAAAGGAUGAAGAUUGGCCUGAAUUGCUAACUGACUCUUGGUGUUAUAACCCAGCAUAUAUACCAAGACAAGCAGAUGCUGUCGGUACCUGCCUGUAUCUUCUUAAGUUGGUCAUUUCAUCGUACACUGGCCUGACUUCUGAAUGCCGGCACCUGCAUCUAAUUGCCUGAGAACUCUGGCUGCUGGAGCCCACUCUGCCUUCAAAACAGUCUAGAAGUGACAAAGAAUUCCUUCCUCCCAGCAGGAGCCCUCUGCUCAAUCACAGGCAGGAGUUGGACCGUGGCCCUCCCCAGACCAGUUAGCCAGGACCUCCUCGCAAUCCUGCCUCAAGAGAGGUCAGAUACUUCACAUGGGCACAGAUAUCAAAGAACUCUUUAAGUUUUAAAAUAGGCUUUUGGAAUUUGGGACUAAGACAAUGCUUCAAUAGAAAGGGUUUUAGAAUUCACAAAGCUUACCCUUGACUUGUAUGCUGAAAGUAAAACACAGAAGAACCCAGG